GAUGAACGCUGGCGGCGUGCCUAAUACAUGCAAGUCGAGCGAACAGACGAGGAGCUUGCUCCUCUGACGUUAGCGGCGGACGGGUGAGUAACACGUGGAUAACCUACCUAUAAGACUGGGAUAACUUCGGGAAACCGGAGCUAAUACCGGAUAACAUGUUGAACCGCAUGGUUCAACAGUGAAAGACGGUCUUGCUGUCACUUAUAGAUGGAUCCGCGCCGCAUUAGCUAGUUGGUAAGGUAACGGCUUACCAAGGCAACGAUGCGUAGCCGACCUGAGAGGGUGAUCGGCCACACUGGAACUGAGACACGGUCCAGACUCCUACGGGAGGCAGCAGUAGGGUAUCUUCCGCAAUGGGCGAAAGCCUGACGGAGCAACGCCGCGUGAGUGAAGAAGGUCUUCGGAUCGUAAAACUCUGUUAUUAGGGAAGAACAAAUGUGUAAGUAACUAUGCACGUCUUGACGGUACCUAAUCAGAAAGCCACGGCUAACUACGUG
Molecule: ribosomal RNA, 497 nt
Filed under: uncultured bacterium
Lineage: Bacteria
Description: partial 16S ribosomal RNA
Rfam family: Bacterial small subunit ribosomal RNA
Source: RNAcentral